AGUAUACCACAUGCCUGAUCUAAAAUUAUACCAAGUAUAUCUGUCAUUAAUAAUUUUCUUACAUCAUUUGAUGAUGAUAUCAAAAACAUUACAGCAGUACCAACUCGAGGGGACUUCGCACUCCAAUGCAGCUUUAUACUCAGUGUCCUUACAAUAUCGAGAAAAUGAUAAUUUUAGUGCCUUCCUUCUGAAGGUGCCCCAAUGUGGUGCAUCCUCUACUUACUGGAUUAAGCUGGCUUUGCAUUACAGGCUACACAUUAACAUUUUCUAUUUUUAGCUGUAAACAAAAGAUACAUUCCAAAAUAAUUCAUUGAGUC
This 317-nucleotide long non-coding RNA is filed under the name Androctonus crassicauda. The record is from RNAcentral. Lineage: Eukaryota; Metazoa; Arthropoda; Arachnida; Scorpiones; Buthidae.